CAACUACACAGAGUUCUCUAGCUCUGUGCAGAGCAGGGGAAUCAUAGCUCAAGGCUGUGAAACACCAAGCAGCACUGGAGCAGACCCUAAUGCAAUGAUGGGGACUGUGCUGUUGCAUGAGAGGGAGGAGCAACGUGGCUCUAAACUCACUUCAAAUGCCUGCAGUUAGGACCAUAGGCCCUACCCUGCAUUACCAAGGAAGUGAAGAGGAGAAAAUAGAAUGUGGCAAACCAGGAAGAAGGAGCCAUUGGGAAAUACUAAGAGGAAUGUCCUGUAGAAAAUCUCCAUGGGAGAAGGUCCUAUUUAAGUUCUGUUGAUGGUAAAAUACUAUCAUCUGAAGAUCUUUCAUCUCAAGUAAGGUCCUGAUCGUUCUUUGUGCAUACUUGAUGGAUUGAACUGACCCUCCCUGGAUUUGAUGUACUUGAGCUGAACUUCUAGGAGUUCCUGACUGACUGAAAUAUAAAACCAAGAUCCUGACCACUCUGUGGUCAUUAAAGAUCUCAAGACACUUUUCAGAGCAUCAGGGUAUUAACUACAGCUUUUGAUUUCUCUAAUCAGUUUGUUUGAGUUAAAGCUCAGUUCUCAUCUACAGGGAGCAGAAACAACUUUCUCAACUUGAUGGCUUCUUUACACCACAACCAUGAAUGCAUGUGUCAGAGUCCUUGACUGGUACCAUAUUUGUGCCUUUUAUCAGGAACUACCCAUUUAUUAAACUAUUUUAAAGUACCUUUAGGUACAUGAAUGUUAUUCAGAG
RNAcentral lists this long non-coding RNA (754 nucleotides) under Gopherus agassizii (Agassiz's desert tortoise). RNAcentral's name for it is "lncRNA (ENSGAGG00000008161.1)". Lineage: Eukaryota; Metazoa; Chordata; Testudines; Testudinidae. The record is from RNAcentral.